Molecule: ribosomal RNA, 423 nt
Filed under: uncultured bacterium
Lineage: Bacteria
Description: bacterial SSU rRNA
Rfam family: Bacterial small subunit ribosomal RNA
Source: RNAcentral
GGAAUAUUGGACAAUGGGCGCAAGCCUGAUCCAGCCAUGCCGCGUGUGUGAAGAAGUCCUUCGGGUUGUAAAGCACUUUGGUACGGGAAGAAACGCACUCGGUUAAUACCCGGGUGUCAUGACGGGACCGUAAGAAUAAGCACCGGCUAACUCCGUGCCAGCAGCCGCGGUAAUACGGAGGGGGCAAGCGUUAAUCGGAAUUACUGGGCGUAAAGCGCGCGUAGGUGGUUUUGUAAGUCGGAUGUGAAAGCCCUGGGCUCAACCUGGGAAUUGCAUUCGAUACUGCUUAACUAGAGUAUGGUAGAGGGAAGUGGAAUUUCCGGUGUAGCGGUGAAAUGCGUAGAUAUCGGAAGGAACACCAGUGGCGAAGGCGACUUCCUGGGCCAAUACUGACACUGAGGUGCGAAAGCGUGGGUAGCAAAC